RNAcentral lists this ribosomal RNA (305 nucleotides) under uncultured bacterium. Its description in RNAcentral is "bacterial SSU rRNA". It matches the Rfam family "Bacterial small subunit ribosomal RNA", at positions 333 to 652 of the family's 1533-position model. The record is from RNAcentral.
GUUAACCUACGGGAGGCAGCAGUGGGGAAUAUUGGACAAUGGGGGGAACCCUGAUCCAGCGACGCCGCGUGAGUGAAGAAGUAUUUCGGUAUGUAAAGCUCUAUCAGCAGGGAAGAAAGGAAUGACGGUACCUGACUAAGAAGCCCCGGCUAACUACGUGCCAGCAGCCGCGGUAAUACGUAGGGGGCAAGCGUUAUCCGGAUUUACUGGGUGUAAAGGGAGCGUAGACGGUAGAGCAAGUCUGAAGUGAAAGCCCGCGGCUCAACUGCGGGACUGCUUUGGAAACUGUUCAACUGGAGUGCUGG